GCGGANAGAUGGGAGCUUGCUCCCUGAUGUUAGCGGCGGNNGGGUGAGUAACACGUGGGUAACCUGCCUGUAAGACUGGGAUAACUCCGGGAAACCGGGGCUAAUACCGGAUGGUUGUUUGAACCGCAUGGUUCAAACAUAAAAGGUGGCUUCGGCUACCACUUACAGAUGGACCCGCGGCGCAUUAGCUAGUUGGUGAGGUAACGGCUCACCAAGGCAACGAUGCGUAGCCGACCUGAGAGGGUGAUCGGCCACACUGGGACUGAGACACGGCCCAGACUCCUACGGGAGGCAGCAGUAGGGAAUCUUCCGCAAUGGACGAAAGUCUGACGGAGCAACGCCGCGUGAGUGAUGAAGGUUUUCGGAUCGUAAAGCUCUGUUGUUAGGGAAGAACAAGUACCGUUCGAAUAGGGCGGUACCUUGACGGUACCUAACCAGAAAGCCACGGCUAACUACGUGCCAGCAGCCGCGGUAAUACGUAGGUGGCAAGCGUUGUCCGGAAUUAUUGGGCGUAAAGGGCUCGCAGGCGGUUUCUUAAGUCUGAUGUGAAAGCCCCCGGCUCAACCGGGGAGGGUCAUUGGAAACUGGGGAACUUGAGUGCAGAAGAGGAGAGUGGAAUUCCACGUGUAGCGGUGAAAUGCGUAGAGAUGUGGAGGAACACCAGUGGCGAANGCGACUCUCUGGUCUGUAACUGACGCUGAGGAGCGAAAGCGUGGGGAGCGAACAGGAUUAGAUACCCUGGUCCACGCCGUGAUGAGUGCUAAGUGAGGGGUUUCGCCCCUUAGCUGCAGCUAACGCA
This 799-nucleotide ribosomal RNA is filed under the name Bacillus sp. GP-23. Its description in RNAcentral is "bacterial SSU rRNA". It matches the Rfam family "Bacterial small subunit ribosomal RNA", at positions 66 to 859 of the family's 1533-position model. The record is from RNAcentral. Lineage: Bacteria; Bacillati; Bacillota; Bacilli; Caryophanales; Bacillaceae.